UGUGCCUAAUACAUAGCAAGUCGAGCGCUCGUGGCCCAACUGAUAUGACGUGCUUGCACUGAAUUGACGUUGGAUUACCAAUGAGCGGCGGACGGGUGAGUAACACGUGGGCAACCUGCCCUGAAGCGGGGGAUAACAUCUGGAAACAGGUGCUAAUACCGCAUAACAACGAAAACCACAUGGUUUUCGUUUCAAAGAUGGUUUCGGCUAUCACUUCAGGAUGGGCCCGCGGUGCAUUAGCUAGUUGGUAAGGUAACGGCUUACCAAGGCAAUGAUGCAUAGCCGAGUUGAGAGACUGAUCGGCCACAAUGGAACUGAGACACGGUCCAUACUCCUACGGGAGGCAGCAGUAUUGGAAUCUUCCACAAUGGGCGCAAGCCUGAUGGAGCAACACCGCGUGAGUGAAGAAGGGUUUCGGCUCGUAAAGCUCUGUUGUUGGAGAAGAACGUGCGUGAGAGUAACUGUUCACGCAGUGACGGUAUCCAACCAGAAAGUCACGGCUAACUACGUGCCAGCAGCCGCGGUAAUACGUAGGUGGCAAGCGUUAUCCGGAUUUAUUGGGCGUAAAGCGAGCGCAGGCGGUUGCUUAGGUCUGAUGUGAAAGCCUUCGGCUUAACCGAAGAAGGGCAUCAGAAACGGGNGACUUGAGUGCAGAAGAGGACAGUGGAACUCCAUGUGUAGCGGUGGGAAUGCGUAGAUAUAUUGGAAGAACAACAGGUGGGCGAAGGCGGCNGUCUGGGUCUUU
This 745-nucleotide ribosomal RNA is filed under the name Lactobacillus sp. JV-2006. RNAcentral's name for it is "bacterial SSU rRNA". It matches the Rfam family "Bacterial small subunit ribosomal RNA", at positions 43 to 738 of the family's 1533-position model. The record is from RNAcentral. Lineage: Bacteria; Bacillati; Bacillota; Bacilli; Lactobacillales; Lactobacillaceae.